Molecule: long non-coding RNA, 981 nt
Organism: Lagopus leucura (white-tailed ptarmigan)
Lineage: Eukaryota; Metazoa; Chordata; Aves; Galliformes; Phasianidae
Exons: 5
Source: RefSeq, a predicted model, not a curated record
ACUAUUGAAAAACCACCACAUUGAAAAAAACACUUUUACUUCAAUCAUAGAGUUUGCAAGCAAAGUUUGUAGAUAGACUUUGAACCACGGAACUGCUAACAAUAUGGAACCACUUUUAGGGGGUGAGGGUGGAAAUAGGUGGCAGAUAUACAGUGGUCCUCAGAACGUUUUCAGGGUUGAGGGCUGCAGCGAAAAUGCUAGCUGACAGCUUGAACCCAGUGAUUGAGCACCUGGUAGGAAGGCAGGGCCAAUCCAGGAGAGCUCAGGUGCAAGCAAUGCAUUUGAGUGACUGGAAAGGCUAGAGCCAGGAUCCACCCCUUCCCAGACCUCAUUUAAGGGUUGGCAGGGAAGGGAAGGGUAUCUUUUUGGAGAUCCUUGUGUACCUGAGGCUUUUUGAGGAGUCAGCACACGUAUAAAUCAGUGUGGUCAAAGAAUAGACAUAACAAUAGAGUGUUGGAUACCUCUUUCAUCAGCUCUGCCACCGCAAGCAAAUAAGGCUUGCAUUUUCAUUGUGAUUUGGAACACUUACUGAAGUUAUGGAGUCAUCUCUUGUCUGUAUCUGAGAGUAUAUUGUUUCAUGAGUCUGUUGCAUGAAGCUUUCAAUAGGAUAAAUAACUGAACACCCUUCUGCAUGGAAAUGCUUUGGACCUUGCAAGGAAAAACCAUCCUCACAUUUCUCAGGAUCACCAGAUUAUGACUCAAAUCAAUGGAUUUUACUCUCCAGUGAGAAGACUGAGCAUUCACAUUGAAGAAGCAGCCUUCUGCUAUGCAGCCAGUAAUUCACAGGGAGAAGCCUCUUCCUGUUUUUUUUGCUAGAGAGGAAUUGUUUCAGCUGGAAUGUUCAUCACCUUGGUGAGAAAGUAAUGAGGAAGAGGUUGCUGUGAUUGACUGAAAAUGCAAAAUAGACAAGACUGUAUGAAGAAAUAAACCAGUGCUUCAUGUAAUGGUAUCAUACAAUUACAUUGUUCCUUAUACCACAGU